Molecule: ribosomal RNA, 1655 nt
Filed under: human gut metagenome
Description: bacterial LSU rRNA
Rfam family: Bacterial large subunit ribosomal RNA
Source: RNAcentral
CGCCUACCGAAUCCAACCGAACUCCGAAUGCCGGCGGCCCAGAGCGCGGCAGUCAGAGCAUGUGGGCUAAGCUGUGUGCUCGAGAGGGAAACAGCCCGGACCGCCCGCUAAGGUCCCCAAGUUCCAGCCGAGUGGCAAAGGAUGUGCGUCCGCCCAGACAACCAGGAUGUUGGCUUAGAAGCAGCCAUCCAUUCAAAGAGUGCGUAACAGCUCACUGGUCGAGUGGACAUGCGCCGACAAUACACGGGGCUAAGCUGGACACCGAAGCGGCGGGAUUUUGAUUUACAGAAUCGGUAGGGGAGCUUCCCAUGGGCGGAGAAGCCGGAGGGCGACCGACGGUGGAGCGCAUGGGAGUGAGAAUGCUGGCAUGAGUAGCGAGAGACGAGAGAGUAACUCGUCCGCCGUGAACCCGAGGUUUCCUGGGCAAGGCUAAUCCUCCCAGGGUCAGUCGGGGGCUAAGGCGAGGCCGGUAGGCGUAGCCGACGCGCAGCAGGCAGACAUUCCUGCACCGCGCACGCGGCGCUACGACCGACGGGGCGACGGAUGGGGGUGGCUCGGCGGGGUUCUGGACGUCCCCGUGAUGGAGCGCGGCCCGCGGACCAGGGAAAUCCGGUCCGCAUUGAGGGCGAGGCUCCGGACGAAGCACUUAAGCGAAGCGAGUGAGCCCGAGGUCCCUAGAAAAACCCCUAGGCAGGCGCGUGCGCGCCCGUACCGCAAACCGACACAGGUGGGUGGGUAGAACAUACCGAGGCGAUCGGGUCAACCAUGGUCAAGGAACUCGGCACAAUGGCCCCGUAACUUCGGGAGAAGGGGUGCCCGCGCGUACGUGAACGGACUUGCUCCGGGAGCGGAGGCGGGCCGCAGUGGAGAGGCCCAAGCGACUGUUUACCAAAAACACAGGACUCUGCAGAAGCCGCAAGGCGACGUAUAGGGUCUGACGCCUGCCCGGUGCCGGAAGGUCACGCGGAGGAGUUAGCCGAUUCGGCGAAGCCCCGAAGCCAAGCCCCGGUAAACGGCGGCCGUAACUAUAACGGUCCUAAGGUAGCGAAAUUCCUUGUCGGGUAAGUUCCGACCUGCACGAAAGGCGCAACGACUUGGGCGCUGUCUCGACCAUGGACCCGGUGAAAUUGCACUGGUCGUGAAGAUGCGACUUACCCGCGGAAGGACGGAAAGACCCCGUGAACCUUCACUGCAGCUUGGCAUUGGCCGCUGGUCCCGCGUGUAGAGGAUAGGCAGGAGGCAUCGAUCCGGAGGCGCCAGCCCCCGGGGAGCCGCCCUUGGAAUACUGCCCUCGCGCGACCGGCGUCCUAACCCGAGGCCGUCAACCGGCUCGGGGACCGUGCCAGGCGGGCAGUUUGACUGGGGCGGUCGCCUCCUAAAGGGUAACGGAGGCGCGCGAAGGUCCGCUCGGGACGGUCGGCAACCGUCCUUUUGAAUGCAAGAGUACAAGCGGGCUUGACUGCGAGGCCCACAAGCCGAGCAGGUGCGAAAGCAGGCUCUAGUGAUCCGGCGGCCCCGAGUGGGUGGGCCGUCGCUCAACGGAUAAAAGGUACUCCGGGGAUAACAGGCUGAUCUUGCCCAAGAGUCCACAUCGACGGCAAGGUUUGGCACCUCGAUGUCGGCUCAUCGCAUCCUGGGGCUGAAGUAGGUCCCAA